UACGUAGGGUGCGAGCGUUAAUCGGAAUUACUGGGCGUAAAGUGUGCGCAGGCGGCUCUGCAAGUCGAGUGUGAAAUCCCCGGGCUUAACUUGGGAAUGGCGCUCGAAACUACGGAGCUCGAGUAUGGCAGAGGGAGGUGGAAUUCCACGUGUAGCGGUGAAAUGCGUAGAGAUGUGGAGGAACACCAAUGGCGAAGGCAGCCUCCUGGGCCAAUACUGACGCUCAUGCACGAAAGCGUGGGGAGCAAACAGG
This 253-nucleotide ribosomal RNA is filed under the name uncultured bacterium. RNAcentral's name for it is "partial 16S ribosomal RNA". It matches the Rfam family "Bacterial small subunit ribosomal RNA", at positions 524 to 776 of the family's 1533-position model. The record is from RNAcentral. RNAcentral also lists the same sequence under 1 other name.